RNAcentral lists this ribosomal RNA (479 nucleotides) under uncultured bacterium. RNAcentral describes it as "bacterial SSU rRNA". It matches the Rfam family "Bacterial small subunit ribosomal RNA", at positions 39 to 509 of the family's 1533-position model. The record is from RNAcentral.
GCGGCAGGCUUAACACAUGCGAAGUCGAGGGGCAGCGUGGUGUAGCAAUACGACCGACGGCGACCGGCGAAAGGGUGAGUAACGCGUGAGCAACAUGCCACCGUUCAGGGGGAUAGUCAUUGGAAACGAUGCGUAAUACCCCGUAUACCAUUGCAGGGCAUCCUGUGGUGGUGAAAGAUUCAUCGGGAGGUGAUUGGCUCGCGUGCCAUUAGGUAGACGGCGGGGUAACGGCCCACCGUGCCGACGAUGGCUAGGGGUUCUGAGAGGAAGGUCCCCCACAUUGGAACUGAGACACGGUCCAGACUCCUACGGGAGGCAGCAGUGAGGAAUAUUGGACAAUGGCCGGAAGGCUGAUCCAGCCAUGCCGCGUGCGGGAUGACGGCCCUAUGGGUUGUAAACCGCUUUUGAGAGGGAGCAAUAAUUACUACGAGUAGUGAGAUGAGAGUACCUUUCGAAUAAGCAUCGGCUAACUCCGUGCC